This 522-nucleotide ribosomal RNA is filed under the name Fusarium solani. RNAcentral's name for it is "eukaryotic LSU rRNA". The stretch from base 136 to 289 matches the Rfam family "5.8S ribosomal RNA". The record is from RNAcentral. Lineage: Eukaryota; Fungi; Ascomycota; Sordariomycetes; Hypocreales; Nectriaceae.
UCAUCACCCUGUGACAUACCUAUAACGUUGCCUCGGCGGGAACAGACGGCCCCGUAACACGGGCCGCCCCCGCCAGAGGACCCCCUAACUCUGUUUCUAUAAUGUUUCUUCUGAGUAAACAAGCAAAUAAAUUAAAACUUUCAACAACGGAUCUCUUGGCUCUGGCAUCGAUGAAGAACGCAGCGAAAUGCGAUAAGUAAUGUGAAUUGCAGAAUUCAGUGAAUCAUCGAAUCUUUGAACGCACAUUGCGCCCGCCAGUAUUCUGGCGGGCAUGCCUGUUCGAGCGUCAUUACAACCCUCAGGCCCCCGGGCCUGGCGUUGGGGAUCGGCGGAAGCCCCCUGCGGGCACAACGCCGUCCCCCAAAUACAGUGGCGGUCCCGCCGCAGCUUCCAUUGCGUAGUAGCUAACACCUCGCAACUGGAGAGCGGCGCGGCCACGCCGUAAAACACCCAACUUCUGAAUGUUGACCUCGAAUCAGGUAGGAAUACCCGCUGAACUUAAGCAUAUCAAUAAGCGGAGGA